This 282-nucleotide ribosomal RNA is filed under the name Triticum aestivum (bread wheat). Its description in RNAcentral is "partial small subunit ribosomal RNA". Lineage: Eukaryota; Viridiplantae; Streptophyta; Magnoliopsida; Poales; Poaceae. The record is from RNAcentral.
GGCUGCAAUCGCCUUGUUGUAAACUCAGAUAACAUGGAAGUGAUCGACAUAAUGAAAAAUGUAGGACACUCGGCGGGAGCGGCAGCUGCAGUUUUUGAUGAUUGUUACUUUUUGGCUUGUGAUUUUCCUAGAGUUAAAUUUGAACACUAUAAUAGGGAAGCAAAUAGAGUGGCCCAUGAAAUAGCUAGGUUAGCAUUUUUUGCCACUAGGGAUUGGUUUGAGGAGCCGAUGAAGGAUAUUGUACCUCUUCUUAUGGACGAUGUAACAAUUAUUUCUAAUUAA